This 490-nucleotide ribosomal RNA is filed under the name uncultured bacterium. RNAcentral describes it as "partial 16S ribosomal RNA". It matches the Rfam family "Bacterial small subunit ribosomal RNA", at positions 30 to 507 of the family's 1533-position model. The record is from RNAcentral.
AUUGAACGCUGGCGGCAGGCCUAACACAUGCAAGUCGAACGGUAACAGGAAGCAGCUUGCUGCUUUGCUGACGAGUGGCGGACGGGUGAGUAAUGUCUGGGAAACUGCCUGAUGGAGGGGGAUAACUACUGGAAACGGUAGCUAAUACCGCAUAACGUCGCAAGACCAGAGAGGGGGACCUUAGGGCCUCUUGCCAUCGGAUGUGCCCAGAUGGGAUUAGCUAGUAGGUGGGGUAACGGCUCACCUAGGCGACGAUCCCUAGCUGGUCUGAGAGGAUGACCAGCCACACUGGAACUGAGACACGGUCCAGACUCCUACGGGAGGCAGCAGUGGGGAAUAUUGCACAAUGGGCGCAAGCCUGAUGCAGCCAUGCCGCGUGUAUGAAGAAGGCCUUCGGGUUGUAAAGUACUUUCGGCGGGGAGGAAGGGAGUAAAGUUAAUACCUUUGCUCAUUGACGUUACCCGCAGAAGAAGCACCGGCUAACUCCGUG